AGUGAACGCUGGCGGUAGGCCUAACACAUGCAAGUCGAACGGCAGCACAGCAAGAGCUUGCUCUUACGGGUGGCGAGUGGCGGACGGGUGAGGAAUACAUCGGAAUCUGCUUUUUCGUGGGGGAUAACGUAGGGAAACUUACGCUAAUACCGCAUACGACCUACGGGUGAAAGCAGGGGAUCUUCGGACCUUGCGCGAUUGAAUGAGCCGAUGUCGGAUUAGCUAGUUGGCGGGGUAAAGGCCCACCAAUGCGACGAUCCGUAGCUGGUCUGAGAGGAUGAUCAGCCACACUGGAACUGAGACACGGUCCAGACUCCUACGGGAGGCAGCAGUGGGGAAUAUUGGACAAUGGGCGCAAGCCUGAUCCAGCCAUACCGCGUGGGUGAAGAAGGCCUUCGGGUUGUAAAGCCCUUUUGUUGGGAAAGAAAAGCAGCAGGUUAAUACCCCGCUGUUCUGACGGUACCCAAAGAAUAAGCACCGGCUAACUUCGUG
Molecule: ribosomal RNA, 492 nt
Filed under: uncultured bacterium
Lineage: Bacteria
Description: partial 16S ribosomal RNA
Rfam family: Bacterial small subunit ribosomal RNA
Source: RNAcentral